Epinephelus lanceolatus (giant grouper) is the source of this 407-nucleotide non-coding RNA. The record is from RefSeq and is a predicted model, not a curated record. NCBI's taxonomy places the organism in Eukaryota, Metazoa, Chordata, Actinopteri, Perciformes, Serranidae.
UCUAAAUCCUCAGAGCUGAAGAGGUAGGCAUGCAUCUCAUCUUCAGCAGAAGUGUCGUCCACAUUCCUGACUCUGACUUUCUGGGCAACAGUUCUCUUCAGGGAUGCUCUCGAGGCCCUGCAGCAGUAAAGACAUGCGAUUCUCAAUAUUGGCCAGUUUCUCCAAGGUGCUGAGGUUGGUAAUUCUGUCAUCCACGCAGCAGCGAUGGACCUCUACCACCUUCUCACCCAGAGCAUCCAACAUAACAUCCUGCAAGCACAACAAGGAUGUGGAGUAGAUCAAAGAGGAGGAAAAAAAUGAAGAGAGAAGAUAAUGACACCAGAUACCGCUUACAACUGCUAAUGCCACUGUACAUGAUGUCUGGGUGUGUGUUGCUCAGAUCUUGGAUUAAAAUGCAGUUUAACACA